GUAGGGAAUAUUGGGCAAUGGAUGCAAGUCUGACCCAGCCAUCCCGCGUGCCGGAAGAAGGCCCUCAGGGUUGUAAACGGCUUUUGACGGUGAAGAAUCGACAGGAUGCGUCCUGUUUUGACGGUAGCCGUUGAAUAAGCACCGGCUAACUCCGUGCCAGCAGCCGCGGUAAUACGGAGGGUGCGAGCGUUGUCCGGAUUUAUUGGGUUUAAAGGGUGCGUAGGCUGGAAGGUCAGUCAGCGGUGAAAAGCUGUCGCUUAACGAUAGUCUUGCCGCAGAUACUUCCUUUCUUGGAUGAGGAGGAGGCCACUGGAACGGAUGGUGUAGCGGUGAAAUGCAUAGAUAUCAUCCAGAACACCGAUUGCGAAGGCAGGUGGCUGUACCUUAAUCGACGCUGAUGCACGAAAGCGUGGGGAUCGAACAGGAUUAGAAACCCGGGUAGUCC
Molecule: ribosomal RNA, 445 nt
Filed under: uncultured bacterium
Lineage: Bacteria
Description: partial 16S ribosomal RNA
Rfam family: Bacterial small subunit ribosomal RNA
Source: RNAcentral